RNAcentral lists this ribosomal RNA (442 nucleotides) under uncultured bacterium. Its description in RNAcentral is "bacterial SSU rRNA". It matches the Rfam family "Bacterial small subunit ribosomal RNA", at positions 958 to 1399 of the family's 1533-position model. The record is from RNAcentral.
AACGCGAAGAACCUUACCUACCCUUGACAUCCUAAGAAUCUUAUAGAGAUAUGAGAGUGCCGAAAGGAACUUAGAGACAGGUGCUGCAUGGCUGUCGUCAGCUCGUGUUGUGAGAUGUUGGGUUAAGUCCCGUAACGAGCGCAACCCUUAUCCUUAGUUACCAACACGUAAUGGUGGGGACUCUAAGGAGACUGCUGGUGAUGAACCGGAGGAAGGCGGGGACGACGUCAAGUCAUCAUGGCCUUUAUGGGUAGGGCCACACACGUGCUACAAUGGUCGGUACAGAGGGUAGCCAACCCGCGAGGGGGAGCCAAUCUCAGAAAGCCGAUCGUAGUCCGGAUUGGAGUCUGCAACUCGACUCCAUGAAGUUGGAAUCGCUAGUAAUCGCGAAUCAGAAUGUCGCGGUGAAUACGUUCCCGGGCCUUGUACACACCGCGUGUCU